This 549-nucleotide ribosomal RNA is filed under the name uncultured Glomus. RNAcentral describes it as "SSU rRNA". It matches the Rfam family "Eukaryotic small subunit ribosomal RNA", at positions 548 to 1098 of the family's 1831-position model. Lineage: Eukaryota; Fungi; Glomeromycota; Glomeromycetes; Glomerales; Glomeraceae. The record is from RNAcentral.
UUGGAGGGCAAGUCUGGUGCCAGCAGCCGCGGUAAUUCCAGCUCCAAUAGCGUAUAUUAAAGUUGUUGCAGUUAAAAAGCUCGUAGUUGAAUUUCGGGGUUAGUAGGUUGGUCAUGCCUCUGGUAUGUACUGGUCUCACUGAUUCCUCCUUCCUGAUGAACCGUAAUGCCAUUAAUUUGGUGUUGCGGGGAAUUUGGACUGUUACUUUGAAAAAAUUAGAGUGUUUAAAGCAAGCUAACGCUUGAAUACAUUAGCAUGGAAUAAUGAAAUAGGACGUUCGAUCCUAUUUUGUUGGUUUCUAGGAUUGACGUAAUGAUUAAUAGGGAUAGUUGGGGGCAUUAGUAUUCAAUUGUCAGAGGUGAAAUUCUUGGAUUUAUUGAAGACUAACUACUGCGAAAGCAUUUGCCAAGGAUGUUUUCAUUAAUCAAGAACGAAAGUCAGGGGAUCGAAGACGAUCAGAUACCGUCGUAGUCUUAACCAUAAACUAUGCCGACUAGGGAUCGGAUGAUGUUAAUUUUUUAAUGACUCAUUCGGCGCCUUACGGGAAAC